This is a long non-coding RNA of Peromyscus eremicus (cactus mouse), 833 nucleotides long. RefSeq lists it as uncharacterized. The transcript is spliced from 4 exons. The record is from RefSeq and is a predicted model, not a curated record. NCBI's taxonomy places the organism in Eukaryota, Metazoa, Chordata, Mammalia, Rodentia, Cricetidae.
GUUUCCUGAAUAAACGGCAGAAAGAAGAGCUCAGUGUUGUGUCUUCCUUGCUGGUCGAGGUGGUCGCAACAGCUGGGGACUAGAAUUUGAAAAAUGUUUCUGAAGAGACAGAAUCAGACCAAUGUUAGACAGUAGUUUAGAACUGGGGCCUAGAGGUUCUGAUUAUCCUUUGCAGCAUUUUUACUUAAAAGAUCACACACAACAAGACAGAAAUAAUCAGGGUAAUGAAGAGCCAAGGAAGUUGUUCUGUGAAAGAGAAAGGGGCUGAAGACAUGAAUGAUGAAACAGACUGGUGAUACCAUCAUCAUCAGAAAAAAUGCCCUCACGGAAAAAACAGUAGCAGAGAUCUAAUGAUCGAGGUGUUCCAUCCUUCAUCACAGUAUAGCUGAUGUUUGCCUUGAAGACAAAAUACUCUUGAGGAAAAGUCCAAGAAUCCAGUAGUUACUGAAGCCAUGAAGAUGGAUGGAACAGGUGGUCUUCAGUAUGCAACAGAAUCCAGUAAAAGUAAGCCCCAACACUAGUGAGAAAAAUGAACUUGCCAGAGAAAACAAGAGCAAGCAGGCAAAGAGCAAAUACUUCCUUCUUCUAUGACAUCCAUACAUGCCAGAAGAUGUGUCCUAAUUUUAAGAUGCAAAGCAACCCAUAUACCAAGGAAAAGACUAAGUAAAACAUCAAAUAUUGCAGUUCCCCAUGGCCAAAGGAACCAUUUAUAAAUCCAGGCUCUUCAGGCUAAAGUUUGGUUCAGAUGAAGAUUGGAUAUGUCCAGUGUUAAUUCCUUAUGUUGAUGAUAAAAUAUCACCAUCUCAGGAAUAAACAGAAUAUGCUUUCUGUUG